GUGACGAAGCGACGCCGCGUGUGGGAAGAAGGCCUUCGGGUUGUAAACCACUGUCAGGAGUUAAGAAGUGUAGUGGAGCGAAUAGCGCCACUACUUAACUAAGGCUCCAGAGGAAGCCACGGCUAACUCUGUGCCAGCAGCCGCGGUUAUACAGAGGUGGCAAGCGUUGUUCGGAAUUAUUGGGCGUAAAGAGCACGUAGGCGGUUCUGCAAGUCGGCUGUGAAAGCCUUCCGCUCAACGGAAGAACAGCAGUUGAUACUACAGGACUAGAGUGCGGGAGGGGAGAGUGGAACUUCUGGUGGAGCGGUGAAAUGCGUAGAUAUCAGAAGGAACGCCGGCGGCGAAAGCGACUCUCUGGCCCGUAACUGACGCUGAGUGUGCGAAAGCUAGGGGAGCAAACGGGAUUAGAUACCCCGGUAGUCCUAGCCGUAAACGAU
RNAcentral lists this ribosomal RNA (437 nucleotides) under uncultured Planctomycetota bacterium. RNAcentral's name for it is "bacterial SSU rRNA". It matches the Rfam family "Bacterial small subunit ribosomal RNA", at positions 383 to 810 of the family's 1533-position model. The record is from RNAcentral. Lineage: Bacteria; Pseudomonadati; Planctomycetota.